UCGGAUAUGGUGUAACGGCUAACAUUGCCGCCUCUCAUAUAUCGAGAUGCAGGUCGCGGCAGCUCGGGGUUCGAUUCCCCGUAUCCGAA
Molecule: non-coding RNA, 89 nt
Organism: Armillaria novae-zelandiae
Lineage: Eukaryota; Fungi; Basidiomycota; Agaricomycetes; Agaricales; Physalacriaceae
Source: the annotation of a GenBank genome assembly